Molecule: long non-coding RNA, 1778 nt
Organism: Nothobranchius furzeri (turquoise killifish)
Lineage: Eukaryota; Metazoa; Chordata; Actinopteri; Cyprinodontiformes; Nothobranchiidae
Source: RefSeq, a predicted model, not a curated record
GGGAGCUCUGCUCACAGUUGGACAAUGCUAAGGAAAUGCUGCAUUCUGGCGUCAGCUGCUGUAUUCAAACUGUGCCUCUGUGGGUGAUCAGCUCUGCUUUGGUGCUUGGGCAUUUGUUUAUUUUGUACUGGGCGUGACGCUACUGCACAUCCCAGAGUGAACUGAGCAUUGGAUUAGAGACAGAUGUUGAACACCUGUGCGCUGCCGGGCGGGGAAGCUUCCUUGCGGCCUAGAUGAUACUAGCGGGCGGACCGAUUGUGCUCUGUGGUCUGGCGGGUGGCGCAGCUGUUUCGCUUUAGUUAUUUGUUUCAUUCAGUUUUCCAGUUCCUCCCCCCACGUGGGCUCUGCACGGACCACUGCACGGUGUCGGAGGCUUUCCCACUCUCAGCGUGGGAGUCCAGAGGGGAAAACAACUGUGUUUUAAUUAAGUGGUUUUUAAUGAUUGAUCGUUUGUAACUCCCCUUUUCUUUUGUGCAGGCUGGGACAGGAGGUGGUGGCCUCGGUGGUGGCGGUCCCGUUUGUGUGUGUGCUGGUGCUGGUGCUGGGUUCCCUCACGUUGGAGUGAAUUUCACUGUUGCCUGGGGUGACUUUAUUAUAUUUUAUUGCACUUGUUUCUUUUUGGGAUUCACCACCCUGUGUGUCAUUCCCUCCUACAGCUAGUCUCAGUCCUGCAAGUUAUUCCCUGUGUGUCUUGUUUUUAAUCAGAGAAAUUUUUAACCAUAUACAUAUAUUUUAUUUUUUUUUUAUAAAUCAAUAGUAACUUUUGGAACCACGUCUCAUGCCUCAUUUAGUGGAAGGAACCUAUGUGCUGCAUUGUUGACAACUGUUGGCUGCUCCCUGAAAAAAUAAAAGGUUACAGUGUGUUUGGAGCAUGCCAUAUCUAUAGCUCCCUUGUGUAUAGAGCUCCGGACCCCACGUGACUCUCAGUUAGUAGACGCCAUUUUGCAGGUAAAAAAAGGUAAACAAACACAUGAACGUUAACGGGAUCAGCUUGGAUUUUACUUCGUUGGAGUUUACUUCACACUUUAAAACCGAAGAAAUUGUUUUAUAUAGUCAGAAAUUAAAUAGACUAAACAUCUCCGACCCUUACCGUGUCCCUGGGAUACUUUUUAAAAACGCCAGAAGCUGUUGGAGCGGACUUCUUACCGGACCUGGCCGGGGAACCCCUUGGGAUUUACCCGGAGGAGGUGGCUCCGGCGGCUGGGGAGAGGGAAGUCAGGGCCUCUCGACGCUACUGCCCCCGCAACCCGACUCUGGAUAAGCGGAUGAAAAUGGAUGGAUGGACAAAUAACAGAUUUACACGUAAGUAGUUUAAAUAGAGUGCUGUGCUGUUUGAAUGUAUAAACUGAACGCCAAGAGAAAUCACUAGUUUGAUUUUUUUUUCUUCCGUGAAUAAAAUAAAUAUGUCAGGCAGGAGCGUCUCAGGAUCUGUCUGAGAUCUGUCUCGGUGAGACAGAUAAUAGCAAUCCAAAGUGCUUUUUAUGUGUGAUCUGACAAUUGAUCAACCAUUGCUUAAAAAUUAAAUACAGCUUAGCCGGUUAAUUGCUGUGAUCAUAAAACACGUAAACGGCAGCACGCAGAAAUCACGAGGCAACGUUUUACGUGAUGUUUACUUGUUGCUAUGAGUAAUAAGACAGAAAAAGCCACGCCAAAAUAAGUUUAGGAAGCCCGCUAAGAAUCGUAAUAAAAGCAUUUAAAAUAAAUACCAUACACAGUUGAGGAAACGUUAGUUUAAGUACCUGAUAUGAAGCGGUCGCUGCAUAAGCGAAAUCCUUUAC